RNAcentral lists this ribosomal RNA (253 nucleotides) under uncultured bacterium. RNAcentral describes it as "partial 16S ribosomal RNA". It matches the Rfam family "Bacterial small subunit ribosomal RNA", at positions 524 to 776 of the family's 1533-position model. The record is from RNAcentral.
UACGUAGGGUGCAAGCGUUGUCCGGAAUUAUUGGGCGUAAAGAGCGUGUAGGCGGCCCGAUUAGUCCGCUGUGAAAGUCCAGGGCUCAACCCUGGAAUGCCGGUGGAUACUGUCGGGCUAGAGUCCGGAAGGGGCGAGUGGAAUUCCUGGUGUAGCGGUGAAAUGCGCAGAUAUCAGGAGGAACACCAAUGGCGAAGGCGGCCCGCUGGGCAGUGGCUGACGCUGAGGCGCGACAGCGUGGGGAGCAAACAGG